GAACAACAAAAGAACAAACUCAAACGAAACUGCUUAACAAUCCUACAGUGCAGACCUGGCAGGAAGAAAAAGUGGAUGAGGAAGACCCUUUGGACAUCGUCAAAAGAGGCAUUGUUAGCAAAUGACGGGGGGCCAGUCCUGAAAGCCUGUGAGGCUGUGAGCAACUCUCCCACCUGCUCUUCUCUGUCUGUCCUACUCCUCAUGACAAUGACUCUUAUCCUGGAGGGCCUGCAGUAGCGUUUGACACACGUACCUCAUUUAAUUCUCACAAGAGUUCUAUGAAACAGGCUAGGAUUUGGCAAACCAUUGUCAGCUACCUGUUUUUGUAAAUAUAGUUUUAUUGGAACAUAACCACCACAAUUUAUUUACAUAUUGUCUAUAGCUGCUUUUACUCUACAAUGGCAGAGUUGAGUAGUUGUGACAAAAGCUCUAGGCCCUGAAAAGUGCAAAAUAUUUAUUUUACUAUGUGGCCCUUUACAGCAAAGGUGUGUUGACCCCUCAGAUAAAUGGGACAUUGCUCCCACUUUACAUAUGAGGCACAGAAAAGCUAAGCGCAUUGACUGAGAUCAUUUGGGUUAUAAAUUAUAGUGUCAGAGAUGUCUCGGACCCAGAGACAACUGUUCCCUAUGCUUUUCUCCUCCCUACCUUAUAGCAUCUCCUACUCUUUCACAUUCAUUUGUUCCUACUAAAUGUGUCAGCCAAAAAGAACACAUUCAUUUGCACUGAACAAGACGUCUCAGGUUGACCAUCACACAGAAGUCAACAGGAGGUUCUGGAGACUUGCAGAAAGUGAUCAUCCAGCAUAUCCUCUCCUCUCCUCUCCUAGCCCCUAAGGACUGAUUCGUAGUCUGCCCAGAGUUUAUAAGAGAGACAGUCAUCCAACAUGAAUAGAGAUGGCCUGAGCAGGCAUGGGCUCUUUGAAAUUCGGAGAGAUCAGCUCAAAGAUACACUGGGAAGAACCAGGUUGCCCCAAGCAAAAGGCAACAACUGCCCUUGGUUGAGCAAGAUUCCUUGGGAAGCUUAUUGGAGGCCCCACCUCUAAGGACAGGCCCACAUUUGCCUUGUCUGCCAUUCUUCCCUUACUGAUGUAUUCUGACCCUGUCUUGGCUUGAUUUAUCUUUGAUGUCUUUGAUGUUGCUCAUGACCAUGCUGCCUUCUUCCUGGGAGUUCCCAUCUGGUCCUGGUUUCUGCUUCUCUUGCCUUAGCUCAUACUCAAACCCUGUGGGUAACAGCCCACGUGCAACAGUGGUCUGCAGCUCCUGAGGGCUGUUGAAAAGAUUGCUUCAUUCAAUGCCAUAAAAAUAUCCAAGAAUACAGCAAUUGUUAUAGAAAUUAUGGUAAAUCUGCACAAUGAAAUAUUAUGCAGCCACUAAAACGGACAUCAAUUCAGAUUUCUAAAUGACACAAUGUAGCAGAGACAGGGCCAGGUUCAUGGGUGUGGGUCCUACACAGUCAUACAGGGCUCCACACUUACAAGGGCCCUACACUUGGUUUAAUGCUCCAUGGCUGCCACCUUGAAAUUCUGAAUAGUUUUAUAACAAGAGUCCUCCACAUUUACAUUUCACAUUGAGCCUAUAAAUUGUUAGCUAGUCCUGAGCAGAGAUGACUCUGAGUGCCCAUUUUCUCCUGUCUUUUAGUAAUAGAACCUCCUCCCUUUGCUUCAUACAUACACCCUGACUAGUGUUUCCACGCUGGAAUUCCUUCCCAGUAUUUCUUGAGAAUUUUUUAUGUUUCUCCAAAUCUCGAAAGAAAAAUCAGUCAAGAAAUUGGGAAAAAGUAUUGUAAUUAUCCUGCAGGAAUCAAGGCUUAAUGAUCAACAUAAAGACAUCACUGGUUUGAAUCCAUCAAUGUCAAAUGAAAAGCAAGAGCAGGAAAGGCUGGCAGGUGGAAGAGCAUAUAGCACAUAGGAGAGCACAUAGGUCAAGAGCUGAUCAGUCAAUCUUGCUUGUAGCCAUUGUCCUGUUCUAAGUGUGUGUUCUUGGCCCUGACUGAUGCUAAUGGCAAGUCAUUCUUGGAAAUAAAAUAAGCAGUAUUAGGUUUAUAUGUAUGUAUACUUUAUUCAAAUCCUGCUAGUGAUGUUCUAGGAAAUAACAAAUUUGGGAAGCAAAAUACGCCCUUAAUUGGCAAUUUCAAUGUGUGAUUCUGUGUAGUGCUUUAACCUUGCUAGGAGAUCUGAAUGUCACAUUCUUUGAAUAUUACCCAAAAAUGUUCACUGGUAUUUUCUAAUGUUUGAUUUUUUUUUUAUCUCAGGCUAUAGUUGUUUAUAAAUUUGCUAAAUGUAAUAUUUCUUAUUUAUUAAACCAAUUUCUUUUAGAUAUCCACAGUAAUGACUAAAGAGUAUAAAAAUUGCUGGAAGUCUUUUAUUUUCUUCUUGUUACUUAGUUUUCAUUUUGUAAUUAUAAACUUAACUCUGCGAUCCAGCUAGACAUGGAAGAGGAUAAGGAAAAUAUGGAACCCAAAGGACUGUGCAAAGAUUAUAGGAUGCUGUGAGCAAAUGGGGUGGAAGCAUGCUUUCCUGAGCUAUAGAAGGAACGAUCUGGUGGUUCAGAUAAAACAAUCAAAUUUAUUAGAGUUGUCCACAGUCAGCAGCUGUGAUCUUCUUGCUGGUCUUACCAUUCCUGGACCCAGAGCGUUCCAGGGCUUCCACAAUACUCAUGCCAUCUUUCACCUUGCCAAAGACCACAUGCUGUCAUCCAUCCUCUGUCUUGGCAGUACAGAAGAAAAACUGGGAACCAUUUGUGGUGGGUCCAGCAUUUGCCGUGGACAAGACGCCAGGAGCUGUAUGCUUAGGAUGAAGUUCUCAUCAUCAAAUUCCUUGCUGUAGAGGGACUUGCCACCAGUGCCAUUAUGGUGUGUGAAGUCACCACCCUGACACACACCCCGGAAUAAUUCUGUAAAAGCAGGGACAUUUAUCACCAAAUACUUUCUCUCCAGUGUUCAGAGCACAAAAAUUUUCUUCCAUCUUUAGAACUUUGUCUGCAAAUAGCUUGAAGGAGAUGCAGCCCAAGGACUCACUAUCAAUUGCAAUGUUGAAGAACACAGUGGGGUUGGCCAUGGCUGGUGGCAGGGAGUUCUGGGCAGCAGCGAUGUCUGCAAAUGGAAGUCUUUUCAGAAUAACACGAGUUUAUCUUUAUAACAAACCUAUACAUGUAUCCCUGAACCUAAAAUAAAAGUUUUUUUUUUAAAAGGAUAACUUAUUAUUUCAGAAAUUUCUAAGAAUUCCCAGGAAUUCCAACUUCUCAUUUGUAUAUCCUGAUGAAUAUCCACUGGGUAUUUGGAAAUGCCAAUUUCUGACAUAUGAUUGCUUAGCUAGAGACUGCAUUUCCAGCCUCCUUUGCAGGUAACUAUAGCCAGGUUCUAAGUUUUGGCCAAUGAGAUGUUAGCAGAAGUGAAAUGUGUGCCUUCUGGAUUUUAUUUUUAUGAGAAAUUUGCCUGUCUUCUAUUCUUUUUCCCUCUUCUCUCUGGCUCGGAAAUGAUGAAAAGUACAGGACUCACUGGGACCAAAAUUCAGAAAUUACAUGUUAAGGAAGAGAGGGCUGCUCCUCUAGCCUGUUCUCCUUAUGACCUUGUGGAACGGAAUUGCCUACCUGCCCUGGACUAUCCUAAGAUUG
This 3611-nucleotide long non-coding RNA is filed under the name Homo sapiens (human). RNAcentral describes it as "HSALNT0360049". The record is from RNAcentral. Lineage: Eukaryota; Metazoa; Chordata; Mammalia; Primates; Hominidae.